This is a non-coding RNA of Phascolarctos cinereus (koala), 5815 nucleotides long. The record is from RefSeq and is a predicted model, not a curated record. Lineage: Eukaryota; Metazoa; Chordata; Mammalia; Diprotodontia; Phascolarctidae.
AUUGACAUUUACAUGGGACUUUAAGGUUUCCAAGGUCCUUUACAUAUGUAUUCUUAUGGGAGCCUCACAAGAGCCCUGGAAAGUAUGUACUACAGGUCAAGACAUCAUCAUGGUGUUGGUCUUCUUCAAAAAUGAAGGACAAACAACAAUUUAAAUUGGUAAAAUAUAUCAAUAUCUUUGGUUUCAAAGGAGCAUUCAGUAACAAGAAAACAUAAAAGGACUCAACCACAAAAAAGCAGUGGAAGACAUUUCCAGCAAAAGAAAUUUCUGAUCAUCAGCAAUGAAGGUACAAAGGAAAACAGAAAAGGAAAGCGAGUAAAUAACUUUUGAUGUGGCAGUUUUUUUUAAGUAACAUAGAGAUUUAUACAAGGUGGAUUGCAUCUAUCUAAGGACAAAGAAAUAUAGCAGAAAAAGGACUGAAUUUUCCCACUGCUCUUUGGAGGCAUAGAACCUCCAACUCCAUCUUGACUCUCCCAUUUAUUCCUUGUGUUAAUCUAGGGAUGUGGUAUGACAGAAGAGAACUUAGUCCACACAGAUGGGACAGAUUAGGCUGAAGCUCCAAGGAGGAGGAGGAGGACCAGAUGCAUCUCUCUUGGUAGCUUGUCUCCAGCUGCUCCCUUGGCAUGAUUUGGAUGACUCUCCCUUCAUAUUUCUGAUGAAGAUGGGAGUUUCUCAGGGUGUUCAACCUUCAACCCCCAGCUCCAGCCCUCAGCCCCUUCACUUUCUUAGCUCCAACCUUUUAAGGAUGCCUCACAUCUUUCAAAGUUUAGCUAGCAUGGUCAGGUAGCUUUUCUUCUGAUUUUUAUUUUAAAAAAUCAUAAGAAUUUACCAUUGUAAAAUGUAUCAUAUUUUUCCAAGUGCUCUCCUAUAUACCAUCUUAUUGGAUUCUUCCCCCAAAUCCUGUAAUGUAGGUUAUUUAUAGGGUCAUAGAUCCAUAGCUGGAAGAAACCUCAAAAGCCACCUUUUCCAAUCCCUUCAUUUUCCAGAUAAGGAAACUGAGUCCCAAAGAGGUUAAGUGACUCAUGCUAUGUCACAUACCUAAAUUAAGUAUAAGAGAUAAUAUCCAAGCUCAGGUCCUCUGACUCCAAAACCAGUUUUUUUUGUUGUUGUUUUUUUUUUUUACUAUACCAGCUGUAUUAUUAUUUCCAGGUUAUAGUUGAGGGAACAAGCACCAAAAAGUUAAUGAGGAUUGCCCCAAAUCACCCACCUCUUUAAUGACAGGGUCAGGAGGAGUAGUUUCCUUUCAAGUCCUUCGCCCCUUGCGUGCAUGGGUGGCUUGUGUGGAAUUUACUCCUAUAGCAGAAGAAGGCUUGUGCCCUACAAUGCAGGUGGUAUUGGAAUUCCAGCUGUUGCCAGUGAGAGACUAUUAGAAGUUACAUACCAGGGUCCAUCCACUUCAUAGUCUUUCUGGCCCCAGCUCACAGGCCCUUUGAGAGCUGUUCAUGCUCUGUAUAAAUAUUACCCAGUUUUCAAGUUUCUUUUACCGUGGUGGUUUUAUCUUUUACAGCCAGUGUUUAAAAUAUGUGCUUUAGUAAGCUGUGAUUGUGCAAAACUGGGGGUGGAUAGGGGUGGGGAAAUGUAUUACUUUGGAAAUACAGACUGGAUAAAUAUUACAUAGGGAUUUACUCUUUUAUUAUGGUUUUAAUCAUGAGCUUUCUCUGCGACGACCUGGAUCCCUGGGAUGGGGAAUCAUUCAGCAUCGUGCUCUUUAAAUGCAGAAACUACUGGAUAAACGGAAUCUUAAAAAAAAAAAUAAACGAAAUGAAACAUUUGUUACGGGACAUCAAACAAUGGUUCCAUUGGCACACCUUCUUAAUGUCUUCUUUAUGCAAACGUUAUGGCUUUUGUACCAUUUUCUACUUCUGCUGUUUCCAGUACAUUUAUUUCAAUGAAGGCUGCAGUAAACCUUUAGAGGAAUUUGGGAGAUUGGCCUCUUUCCUUGUGCCCCAGGAUGUGCUUGCACAGGGAACUUGCCUAAACCAGGACUGGGAGACCGGGAGAAGGGAACCCUUUCUGUUUAAACUGCACCAUUUAUGAGAACGACAAAAAACGCCAAACCUAUGUGGUUCAUUUUAGCACUUCAAAUUUUUAUGGAGAUAUUUAAUUAAAUGCAUAGAGGCAGAGUUUGUAUUGCAUUGGAUGUUAAUAUAUUUGCUAGGACUAGAGUUCACUGCUAUUGUCCACAGUCAUUUAGGACUAUAACUAGGAAUUUUGGCACCUGGGGAAAAUUUAGUUGAAAUGGUGGGGAUGCAGUUAUCUAAAUAAGGAGAAAUCUCAGAACUCGGGAUACUAGGCUUCUCUUCGAGGGAGAGAUCUUGGGAAGUUACUCAUGGUGAGAAAGGAGAGGAGAGGGUGGAGACCCUGGGAUAUCACUUUAGGGGAGGGACGAGAAGAGGCCAAGGAAGGAAGGGGUAUAUGGUGGUGGGGAAAGUGGAGUCUAGGACAGGGACACCUCAUUGAUAGGACAAUAAAGGUGGCAAUCCCAUCAAGGCAAGGAAGAGGGGAAAGCUGCAUAGUAUAGAGCUAUCAAGCCCACAGAUGAGAGGAAGUGCAACCCCACCAUAAUGAUGUCCUGGCACAAAGCCCUGAUUGCCUUACCCUAGUUAAGGCGCUGAAAGGAAUGAAGAACAGUAAGUUCAUGAAAUCAAGAUUUUAUUUAUACUGCUAUUGUAAAGGAACAUGAGCGCAAGUUUAAGGAAAAUGCAAUGCCUUGAGGAAAAGUGUUGGUACCCCCAUGACUACCUUUCAAUGCUUUAUCCUCUGGAUUUCAUGAUUUCGCUUAUUUGACGCUGUCUAAUAAAGACAUAUGUAAUGAAGACUUCACUUUUCAAUGUCUUUACUCACUCAUCCAGCAAUUUCUACUAGUGUCUGAGCAAGAGCACCAGUGCAUGAGCAGUAAGAAUAUAACAUAUUGUCAGUACCAAGGGAGGCCUGCCACUCUUUUUGGAUGCGGUAAGUUUGAAAAUGAGACAGCUCCCAGAAGUCUUGAGCAUUCAGAGCAUAACUCAGCUGCCUGUAUGUUCCAUGGAAUGGAUCCCAGACCUGCUGGAUUUCUUUGUCUCCUGGACCCAUUUGACUAAUUGGUCUGAUCCUUUCUUGGCUUUCAGUGCCCAUGUUCCCCUAUCUCAUGCUUAUAUGAAUUAAGCCUAGUUAAAAAAAAUACCGUUAGAACCCAAUAAUUGUUUCUGCUCUGUUCCAUCUAUCUCUGGCCUCCUACACAUGUCCUCACCUUCUCCAGUACAGACAACUAUCUGUUGAGACCAGGACUCAGAUUUUCAAAAGCUGUGCUCUCCCUAGCCUAGUCCCACAUCCAAUGGGACCAUUCCAUGGACACUCACGUGCAGUCAGAAUUUUGCCUUGUAUUCAGUUGGUUUAAGAUAAAGCUUCCAAGAACGAAUUUAACAAAAAUGAACAAAUAAAGUAGAACCUUGCUCUGUAUAAAAAUGUUGGCUAAGAAUGUCUCAGCUGUGACACAUAAGAUACGAAAUUCAAAAAACUGAAGCCUGAAUUGAAUGUAGGCCCAGCAGUCUUUCCAAAAGACAGAUAAGGACCAAAAACCCAAAUCCAACAAACAAACCAAAAUACACAUUGGUUAUUUCUUGUGCUUAAUUUGGUUCAAGAGGGAAGAUUAAAGGUGGGAUAGGGUUGCUGCUUGGGGUAGAUAGGAUGAAGAUAAAAUACAAGAGACUACCAAACUCCUUUUUUGCUUCUGUUUUUGUUCUAAGGAGAAUCAUCUCCAUUCUGGUAAGAUAAACUAAAGCUGUAUAGAAAGGAGCUGAAACCUGAGGAGGAGAUGGUAAGAGAACAUCAGGCUGCUGCGGAUGAGUUCCAGCCACCAGGUCCUGAAAAAGACCUUACGGAUGUGAUUGGUGAACUGCUGAAAUUGAUCUUUCCGAAAGUCUUGGAGAGCAAAUGAGAUGUCACAGGAAUGGAGAUGGACUUUGGUCAAUAUUUUAUCUUCAAUUAUGCAUCUAUGUUGGGCUUAACCAUAUAGUGAGUAUAGAAGAAAGUCCUGGAAAGACUAUCCUAUGCUGCUAUAGUUGGAUUCCAUACUCUUUCCUGAACUGGACUCUGAGGGAUUCCGAGCUGCCUACAGAAAAGUGAAAAACAACGUAAUAGAAACUAAGAGAUGUGAUUUUUUUGAAAUGUCACUCACUGUACAACUAUACAAUCCCAGAGUCAGUCUCAAAGAAGAUCUGGAACCCCAUGUAUCUCUCUCAAAGAUGGAAUGAACAACAUCUCACCUUUCUCAAUCAGUCACAAAGCAUCACAUCAAUCUUCUCUGCAAAAUACUCCAGGCUUGGCUUGGAACCUGGGUUACAUUUACAAGCUGUGUCUCCCAUUAAGAACUAAAUUGUCAUCUCUGCAAUUUCCAUGUUUCUGGUCCUCUUCUCUGGGACCACUCAGAACAAAUCUAGUCCAUCUUCCACAUGAAGCCCUUUGAAUUCUUAAGGACAGUUAUUAUGGCUCCCCCUCCCACCCCUUCUUUUUUCCAAUUUAAACAUCCCCUUUCACUUCAGCUGAGGUUCAUAAGGCAUGGACUGGAGGUCUUUCACAAUUCUGAUGGCUUCUGUUGGAUAUUCUUUGGCCUCUAAACAUUCUUUCUAGAUUGCAGUGCCCAGAAUUAAACACUGAAUUCCUGAAGUGGUCUCACAAGGGAAUAAUAUGGAAAGAUUAUCACAUCUUAGCUCUGGUAAGUUAUGCCCCUGUCAAUGAAGUUUGAGAUCACAUUAUUUUUAGCUGUCAUAUAACAAUAUUGAACCACAUUGACUAUUGACUCAUAUUACAGUAUUGGGUCAUAUUGAAUUUGCAGCCCAGUAAAACCUCUAGUCUUUUUGUUUUUGUUUUAUUUUUCAGGAAAACUACUAAGCAUUCCUCUCCCAUCUUGUGCCUGUGGAGUUUAUUUUUUGAAUCCAAUUUUAAGACUUUUCAUUUAUGCCUGUUAUAUUUAAUCUUACUCAGUUUGGUCUACCGCUCUAGCCUGUCAAGAGCUAUUUGAAAACUGAUUCUGUCAUCUCAUCAUUUCUCUACUUCCUCCCAUCCCCCAACCACAAUUUCUUCAUCUAUAAAAUGACAGGGUUUGGAUUGGAUAAUCUCUCCUGUUCCUUCCAACUCCAUCAAUUUCUCUUUCCCUGAUUCUACAUGUGCCCCAACCUUCUGGAUAAAAACAGAGCAGGUGGGAGAAGAGAGGGGUCUUUAGACUUGGGCUACUUCUGGGAGAAAAGAAUGCUUCCAGGAGAAACUUCCCCAUAUUAGCCACAGCAUCGGACAGACAACCAGAUGCAUUUAUUGGACUCAAGGCAUAAUGGCGGGUGGGAAGGAGGGCAGGACUACCUAUGAAUUAAAUAGGAAAUGCAUUCCCUAUUCUCAUAAAGCUUAUGAUCUUGUUGGAUCCACACAAUUGGAUUUCUAAGUAGUAUGAUAACCUGGUGAGCAUAAAACUGUUUAGUAAAUGCCAGUAGCUUUUAAGAAAAAAAAUGUGGGGAGCUUGGUCCUAUGUUGUUGGGUUUUUUCUUUUUUUCCACAUUCAGUGACAUCCUAACUUGUUUGCUGUUAAACAUUUCUUUACUGUGUUAUUCUUUGCAUGAUCUGUUUCAGGGAUAAGUUGCCCUUGAUUUAAAAAAAAAAGGAAGAAGAAAAUCCAUGUUGAUUUAGUUGGAAAAAUAUGGCUAAUUUUAUUUUGCAAGAUAAAAUUGUUAGGUCAAUUCUUUUGGAAACAGUGGUCAUUUUGUUUUUAGCAAUUUCUUGAGAUGUUCCAACAUCUAUUCAAUCAAUAUGCUUUUGGAUUCAACUGAAUAACAAUCAGAGAAAUCUU